This 469-nucleotide unclassified non-coding RNA is filed under the name Peltigera neorufescens (nom. ined.). Its description in RNAcentral is "Peltigera neorufescens sequence contains ITS1, 5.8S rRNA gene and ITS2". The stretch from base 82 to 236 matches the Rfam family "5.8S ribosomal RNA". The record is from RNAcentral. Lineage: Eukaryota; Fungi; Ascomycota; Lecanoromycetes; Peltigerales; Peltigeraceae.
CCCAAAAAAAAUAAAAACACACAAAAAUAAAAAUCUGAUAACAAAUAUUUGAUGUCUGAAGUAAAAUCUUUAAAUAAGCAAAACUUUCAACAACGGAUCUCUUGGUUCCGGCAUCGAUGAAGAACGCAGCGAAAUGCGAUAAGUAAUGUGGACCGCAGUACUCAGCGACUCAUCGAAUCUUUGAACGCACAUUGCGCCACUUGGUAUCACCAAAGGGCACACCUGUUCGAGCGUCAUCAUACAUCGCAUCAAGUCAAGGGCCCGGCUUGCAAAUGGGCUUUGUCUGCUUUAUGUAGAAGUCUAAAAGUCAGUGGCGGUUAAGUUAGGCAUUCCAGCGUAGUGGGAUUAAAUUAGCUGUUGAAAUGUCUUUUACUUGACAGCCAAAAUGUCCAGGGUUUCUGCUGGCGGAGACCCCCAGGGUUUCUGUUGGCGGAGACCCUUGGAUUUUAUCAACUAUGACCUCGAAUCA